Molecule: ribosomal RNA, 468 nt
Filed under: uncultured bacterium
Lineage: Bacteria
Description: partial 16S ribosomal RNA
Rfam family: Bacterial small subunit ribosomal RNA
Source: RNAcentral
GACGAACGCUGGCGGCGUGCUUAACACAUGCAAGUCGAACGGAAAGGCCCUGCUUUUGUGGGGUGCUCGAGUGGCGAACGGGUGAGUAACACGUGUGUAACCUGCCCUUGACUUUGGGAUAACUUCACGAAACUGGGGCUACUACCGGAUAGGAUCUCCUGCUGCAUUGUGGGGGUUGGAAAUUUUCGGCGGUUGGGGAUGGACUCGCGGCUUAUCAGCUUGUUGGUGGGGUAGUGGCUUACCACGGCUUUGACGGGUAGGCGACCUGAGAGGGUGACCGGGGACAUGGGGACUAAGAGAGGGAGCAGAGGGGAACGGGAGGCAGUAGGGGGGAAUAUUGCACAAUGGGAGGAAGCGUGAUGAAGAAACGCCGGGGGCGGGAUGACGGCCUUCGGGGUGAAAACAGCUUUAGCCUGUGACGAAGCGGGAGUGACGGUAAUGGGUAAAGAAGCACCGGCUAACUACGUG